GAUAAUGAAGUAAAUAUACAGUUAGUUUCGACCUAAUAUCAGAGAUACUAUUUCUCCUUAUCU
Molecule: transfer RNA, 63 nt
Filed under: Tectocoris diophthalmus (cotton harlequin bug)
Lineage: Eukaryota; Metazoa; Arthropoda; Insecta; Hemiptera; Scutelleridae
Description: tRNA-Arg
Source: RNAcentral